RNAcentral lists this ribosomal RNA (253 nucleotides) under uncultured bacterium. RNAcentral's name for it is "partial 16S ribosomal RNA". It matches the Rfam family "Bacterial small subunit ribosomal RNA", at positions 524 to 776 of the family's 1533-position model. The record is from RNAcentral.
UACGUAGGGGGCAAGCGUUGUCCGGAUUUAUUGGGCGUAAAGAGCGUGUAGGCGGCCAUGCAGGUCCGUUGUGAAAACUCGAGGCUCAACCUCGAGACGCCGGUGGAAACCGUGUGGCUAGAGUCCGGAAGAGGAGAGUGGAAUUCCUGGUGUAGCGGUGAAAUGCGCAGAUAUCAGGAAGAACACCGGUGGCGAAAGCGCUCUGCUAGGCCGCAACUGACACUGAGGGACGAAAGCUAGGGGAGCGAAUGGG